This 372-nucleotide long non-coding RNA is filed under the name Manihot esculenta (cassava). RNAcentral describes it as "long non-coding RNA (MESC_LNC012629)". Lineage: Eukaryota; Viridiplantae; Streptophyta; Magnoliopsida; Malpighiales; Euphorbiaceae. The record is from RNAcentral.
AUUUAUCAAGAAGGAGCAGUCAUGAAUACAAAAGCUUUCACCGAAAUCAAUAACGAAGAAAAGAAAACUCAAAAAAAUAACUCUAGAUCCUGAGAUAAAUAAGAAUUUACCUCACUUUGGCUCUGAUACCAACUGACGCGGAACCCUAUGGCACAAGCCUCAAACCCACACGCACAAGUAGAUAUGGAAUCCAAAGAUUUGAUAAAUCCACCUCCUAUGGCACCCCACACUUAGAGAAGCUGAAACACCAAUGAUCGAAGGAUUUAAAUGAGAAUCUGACAAACGCCACAACGAAUAGUUGAUAAGUUAGCCAAGAUUCCUGGUGCAAUUGAUGAAAGCAAAUCCUCACUCUCACUCAAAGCAAUACACGCC